CCACCUUUUCACACCGGGUGUGUCGGUCCCUGGAGCCGCAACAACACAGUUCCGCCUGGAGGUUGCUUGGCGUCUGCGCCAGCCCAGAGUUCCAGGCAUCUUCCACAAGCGUUGCUGCUCAUAACAGCUGUGCGGCGUCGGGAAGCACUGUGCGGAAAGGCAAAUUACGGUAAAAGUAGGUCCCAACUCUACCACAUGGCCAGCUAAUUUAUCUCGCCUUCUGAACCUGUUAGCUCAGCUGAGCAAUGGAGGCCAUCGUAUGUCUUAGAAUAAUACCAGCUUCUUGGAUUGCUAUGAAGAAAAUGGAAGAGCCAACCCUCAAAUUCACUUGAAAUUGCAAGGAGCUCAGGCUAUCCAAAGCAAUCUCGAAAUAGAAGAAAAAGUUGCAAGACUGAGAUUUCCAGAUUUCAAAACUUACAAAGAGGUACUGUAAUGAAAACAAUGUGGUACUAGCAUGCAAAUAACAUACAGACUGACAGACUAGAAUUGGGAGUCCAGAAAUAAUCCAUAAAUAUAGCCAGUUGAUUGACAAGUGUUGUAAGUCUAGCAAACUGGAAAGUUCUCUUCAAUAAAUGUUUUUUUUUGAAAACUGGACCUUCACGUACACAAGGAUGAUGCUGGGACCUUACUAAAUACCAUAAACGAACUGAAACAGACAUUGAUCAAUAAUCUAAAUAAAACAGUUAAAACAAUAAAACUUGGAAACACAGGGUUAAUGUGCAUGACCUUGAACUUGUUAAUGGACAUUUAGAUAUAAUACCAAAAAUACAAGUACCAAAAAAAAAA
Talpa occidentalis (Iberian mole) is the source of this 786-nucleotide long non-coding RNA. RefSeq lists it as uncharacterized. The transcript is spliced from 3 exons. Lineage: Eukaryota; Metazoa; Chordata; Mammalia; Eulipotyphla; Talpidae. The record is from RefSeq and is a predicted model, not a curated record.